Molecule: ribosomal RNA, 357 nt
Filed under: Xanthomonas oryzae pv. oryzae
Lineage: Bacteria; Pseudomonadati; Pseudomonadota; Gammaproteobacteria; Lysobacterales; Lysobacteraceae
Description: bacterial LSU rRNA
Rfam family: Bacterial large subunit ribosomal RNA
Source: RNAcentral
CGCAGCGAAAGCGAGUCUGAAUAGGGCGUUUAGUACGUGGUCGUAGACCCGAAACCAGGUGAUCUACCCAUGUCCAGGGUGAAGUUCAGGUAACACUGAAUGGAGGCCCGAACCCACGCACGUUGAAAAGUGCGGGGAUGAGGUGUGGGUAGCGGAGAAAUUCCAAUCGAACCUGGAGAUAGCUGGUUCUCCCCGAAAUAGCUUUAGGGCUAGCCUUAAGUGUAAGAGUCUUGGAGGUAGAGCACUGAUUGGACUAGGGGUCCUCAUCGGAUUACCGAAUUCAGUCAAACUCCGAAUGCCAAUGACUUAUCCUUAGGAGUCAGACUGCGAGUGAUAAGAUCCGUAGUCAAAAGGGAA